RNAcentral lists this ribosomal RNA (253 nucleotides) under uncultured bacterium. RNAcentral's name for it is "partial 16S ribosomal RNA". It matches the Rfam family "Bacterial small subunit ribosomal RNA", at positions 524 to 776 of the family's 1533-position model. The record is from RNAcentral.
UACGUAGGGACCAAGCGUUGUCCGGAUUUACUGGGCGUAAAGGGCUCGUAGGCGGCCAACUAAGUCGGAUGUGAAAUCCCCAGGCUUAACCUGGGAACUGCGUCUGAUACUGGACGGCUUGAGUAUGGGAGAGGGAUGUAGAAUUCCAGGUGUAGCGGUGAAAUGCGUAGAUAUCUGGAGGAAUACCGGUGGCGAAGGCGGCAUCCUGGACCGUUACUGACGCUGAGGAGCGAAAGCUAGGGGAGCGAACGGG